This 253-nucleotide ribosomal RNA is filed under the name uncultured bacterium. RNAcentral's name for it is "partial 16S ribosomal RNA". It matches the Rfam family "Bacterial small subunit ribosomal RNA", at positions 524 to 776 of the family's 1533-position model. The record is from RNAcentral.
UACGUAGGGGGCAAGCGUUGUCCGGAUUUAUUGGGCGUAAAGAGCGUGUAGGCGGCCAGGUAGGUCUGCUGUGAAAACUCGAGGCUCAACCUCGAGACGUCGGCGGAAACCAUCUGGCUAGAGUCCGGAAGAGGAGAGUGGAAUUCCUGGUGUAGCGGUGAAAUGCGCAGAUAUCAGGAAGAACACCUGUGGCGAAGGCGGCUCUCUGGGACGGUACUGACGCUGAGACGCGAAAGCGUGGGGAGCGAACAGG